RNAcentral lists this ribosomal RNA (485 nucleotides) under Phenylobacterium koreense. RNAcentral describes it as "bacterial SSU rRNA". It matches the Rfam family "Bacterial small subunit ribosomal RNA", at positions 374 to 876 of the family's 1533-position model. Lineage: Bacteria; Pseudomonadati; Pseudomonadota; Alphaproteobacteria; Caulobacterales; Caulobacteraceae. The record is from RNAcentral.
GGCGAAAGCCUGACGCAGCCAUGCCGCGUGAAUGAUGAAGGUCUUAGGAUUGUAAAAUUCUUUCACCCUGGGACGAUAAUGACGGUACCCGGAGAAGAAGCCCCGGCUAACUUCGUGCCAGCAGCCGCGGUAAUACGAAGGGGGCUAGCGUUGCUCGGAAUUACUGGGCGUAAAGGGCGCGUAGGCGGACAGUUUAGUCAGAGGUGAAAGCCCAGGGCUCAACCUUGGAAUUGCCUUUGAUACUGGCUGUCUUGAGUGCGGGAGAGGUGUGUGGAACUCCGAGUGUAGAGGUGAAAUUCGUAGAUAUUCGGAAGAACACCAGUGGCGAAGGCGACACACUGGCCCGUUACUGACGCUGAGGCGCGAAAGCGUGGGGAGCAAACAGGAUUAGAUACCCUGGUAGUCCACGCCGUAAACGAUGAGUGCUAGUUGUCGGCAUGCAUGCAUGUCGGUGACGCAGCUAACGCAUUAAGCACUCCGCCUGG